CCAAGCAUUUGAAUAAGGAGCUGGGUGAAUUUAUAAUCGACGGUGGUGAGAUAAGCCUGGCGUUGAUAAAUGGAGAGAGACGAAAACCAUUUGAGGAUAGAGGACCUGGGAUUGGGAUUGGGAUUGGGAUCAGUAUCAGAAUUUUUUAGAUCCAGAAGGGCUGCCAUCGAGCCAUCUCCCAGCCUCACCCUAUGAAACUUUGAGGUUUUCUUUCGAUGCUUAUUUCCAGAUCCCCCUUCCUUCACAUUCUGAUUAGAUAUAGUCCCAGCAGAUGUGGAAUCAUCCUGGUUACUGAACUCCACUUGUUUCUCAUCGCCCAUUAAAUAUGCCAUUCCUUUAGCUGACCGAUAUCCAUCCUUUAAUAGCACCUCCACCUCAUCUUCUGUAGGCUUGUAAUGUGACUGCAUUGUUCGAACAGUGCUUAUAAUGUCAUCUGCCAAUCUAUCCUUCGAACUACUACCUUCACCAUCCAUCUCUUUGCCUUUCUUUGAGCUGGUACUAGUUUUCAAAUUGCCACUACCACGGCCCUGACCAUUCUCUUGAGCACCAUUACCUCUCAAACUAGCAUUGUAGGUGUCAACUAGUUCUUUUUGCUUCUGAAAAUCAGGGCAAAGUCUAGCCAACUGAAGAACAAGAUGUGACAAGCCAUAUUGCCGUACAUAAUACAGGUAUUCUUCAGUGCCAAUUGAACCCUGACGAUACUGUCCAGAAAUGUCUUUAAAAGAAGCAUAUUUGUCCUCAUCACAUUCAAGAGCAGCACGUAUCUUUUCCACCAGUGAUUUGUUUGCAGUUUGAAUAUCUUCCACAUUUUGCAAAACAUUGCCACUGGGAGGCAUCUUGCGGAUUUGCGUCGAAGAAACAGGAGGGAAAUCUGAAAUGGAUGGCCUCAAUGAUUUGCUCUCGGAAAGAUUUGGGGCCAGUACAGAGUGCCCAAUGCUAUUGGUGUUGCCCAAGUUUCCUGAGGAACCAGUCGAAAGAUGUCCGUGAACUAAUACAGGUCUAGCCUGAGCCUGCACCUGAACAGAACUUGCAUAACUAGACAGUGCAGGCCCACCGGCAGAACUUCGUGAAUUUGAAGAUGCAGGAUUUAAGUUAGGCCUAUAUUGCAAUGAACUACUAGAUGCAUUUCCACGAGUUGGAGCUGGCCAUGCCUGAGCUGGAUUAAGAACGGUUACAUUUCUGUUUUGGCGUCGAAGAUGUGCUGCCAUAGUGUUAUUAGGCAAACCUUCUGAUUCUUGUUUGGUUUUUUGUUGAUUACUGCUGGAAUUCAUAAGAAGAGGGGGAAAGGAAGAUUCUUCCAAAGGCGUGUUCCUGGAACCUUGCCCCAAGGCUUGAAGAUAUCUUGAAGGCUGUUCUGAAUCAAUUGCAGUUAAUGAUUCAAAAGGCUGAAGCAAUGGAUCAAUAUAAUUCACAUCUUCAUGAACAGAAACUAUUUGUGCACUAGAUGAUGACGAUGGAUCAUGAGAUGUGCUUUCUGAGUUAGCUGUCUCCAGACUUGCUUGGAUAGCAAUAGAUAUUUGAUCAUCAUAUUGAUCACGAUGGAAUGUCCUUCCCCUUCCACGGCGAUCUUGUUCAGUACUUCGCCUAUAUCGAAAGCUUGUUGGUAUCUGGAGGGCAGCAUUACGCUUAGCCCGAGACAUACGCCCUCCAUGUUCAAUAGUAUUGUGUCGCUUAAUUUCUGCUUCAGUUUGAAAGACAACAAACUUUUUGGCAAGACAGGCCUCAUCCUCACAUAGGAAAUGCUCUCGGCGGAAGUGAAUCUCAAGGUCAUCAUAGUUCUUGUAGUAUUCAUAUUGUCCAGGAUGCUGCCUUUGGCAUAUAUGACAAGUAUAGUGUUCAGUCGACAUAUGUGAGUACAGCUCAUUAUCUCCAUAGAAUGGUGAUUUGCAAAAUUCACACAUGGGAUGACCCAUGAAUCCACCUCUCUCACUCUCACUACCAUCAACCUCAGAAUCACCUGUGCUUAUAUGCUGAUUCAAUUGUGCUCUAGUGUAAAGUUUUUGUUCACAAAUGAAUACCUAUAACAAUUAAAAGGAGCCACAGAAAAAUUCAGACAACCAAAAAAGAAUAAGGGAAAAAAAAAGUGUGAGGGAUGGGACUUGGCUUCCCACUACAGAAGAAGAAGAAAAAUAAUUACCACUAAUAGUAACAUAUACAAGCUUUAAAACAGUGUCAACAUGCUGAUAUCUCAAUUUGCUCUAAACAUCAAAGCAAUCAAGCAAUAAUGAAAAUUCAAACAAGAAUCCAUAUAUCACAUGAGACUUGAAAGAUAAGGAUUUUACCUUCCUUCCUUCCAAACAAAGACUACACAUAAGCAACCUAUGUCGAUGAAAUAAAUGACCCUUCAAUUGGUCUAUGCUCCUAAACUUUCCCCGACGCUUUGUGCCAUCAUUUGACUCCUUGUCCAUCUUGUCACAUUCACUACAUGAUAGUCUGCACAUGGCCUUUAUCAUCUUGUAAUGGUCCACAUCAUCAAAAAAUGCUUGUGAGUCCUCAUGAUACCAAUAUGACCCAACUCGACCCUCUCUUGGUUCAGAUGGCAAGACUGAAAAGUCAUUAAUCAUCCUUGUAUAAUCUCCUAAAGCCUUGGUGACAAAAAUGACGGGAGACUCAGUCUUGCAGAUGCAGCAGCAACGAUCGCCGCAGAUGAAGCGCAGGCGAACGACGCAGGUAGAGCAGACCUCUCGAUGCCCACAUGCUCCAUAGGCCACCCAUUCGAGGGAAUCCGCGCAGACCGCACAACUAUCAUCCAUGUCUUCUUCUCCGAAAUCAACUUGUAAUUGAUAAAUAGGGGAUCAGAUAGAGAGAAACCGGAGUUUUGUCGGCGAUAGGAGAUCUAGAGUAUACAGAGAAUAAAUAUGAGAAACGAAAGGUCUAUACUCAACAACCAACUAUUAUAUAUUCGGCAAUUUAAAGGG
RNAcentral lists this unclassified non-coding RNA (2918 nucleotides) under Hevea brasiliensis (rubber tree). Lineage: Eukaryota; Viridiplantae; Streptophyta; Magnoliopsida; Malpighiales; Euphorbiaceae. The record is from RNAcentral.